Molecule: long non-coding RNA, 1111 nt
Filed under: Salmo salar (Atlantic salmon)
Lineage: Eukaryota; Metazoa; Chordata; Actinopteri; Salmoniformes; Salmonidae
Description: lncRNA (ENSSSAG00000086326.1)
Source: RNAcentral
UCCACAUUGACUCUGUACCGGUACCCCCUGUAUAUAGCCUCCACACUGACUCUGUACCGGUACCCCCUGUAUAUAGCCUCCACAUUGACUCUGUACCGGUACCCCCUGUAUAUAGCCUCCACACUGACUCUGUACCGGUACCCCCUGUAUAUAGCCUCCACAUUGACCCUGUACCGGUACCCCCCUGUAUAUAGCCUCCACACUGACUCUGUACUGGUACCCCCUGUAUAUAGCCUCCACAUUGACUCUGUACCGGUACCCCCUGUAUAUAGCCUCCACAUUGACCCUGUACCGGUACCCCCUGUAUAUAGCCUCCACACUGACUCUGUACCGGUACCCCCUGUAUAUAGCCCCCACAUUGACUCUGUACCAGUACCACCCUGUAUAUAGCCUCCACAUUGUUAUUUACUUAUUAUUUAUUUACUCUUUAAUUACUUGUGACUGAUUCAUUUUUUUUUAAAUUUAAACUGCAUUGUUGGUUAGGGACUCGCAAGUAAGCAUUUCACUGUAAGGUCUACUACACCUGUUGUAUUCACCAUUUCACUGUAAGGUCUACACCUGUUGUAUUCACCAUUUCACUGUGAGGUCUACUACACCUGUUGUAUUCAGCAUUUCACUGUAAGGUCUACUACACCUGUUGUAUUCAGCAUUUCACUGUAAGGUCUACACCUGUUGUAUUCAGCAUUUCACUGUGAGGUCUACUACACCUGUUGUAUUCAGCAUUUCACUGUAAGGUCUACUACACCUGUUGUAUUCAGCAUUUCACUGUGAGGUCUACUACACCUGUUGUAUUCAGCAUUUCACUGUGAGGUCUACUACACCUGUUGUAUUCAGCAUUUCACUGUAAGGUCUACUACACCUGUUGUAUUCAGCAUUUCACUGUGAGGUCUACACCUGUUGUAUUCAGCAUUUCACUGUGAGGUCUACACCUGUUGUAUUCAGCAUUUCACUGUGAGGUCUACACCGGUUGUAUUCAGCAUUUCACUGUGAGGUCUACACCGGUUGUAUUCAGCAUUUCACUGUGAGGUCUACUACACCUGUUGUAUUCAGCAUUUCACUGUGAGGUCUACUACACCUGUUGUAUUCAGCAUUUCACUGUGAGGUCUACUAC